Molecule: ribosomal RNA, 406 nt
Filed under: uncultured bacterium
Lineage: Bacteria
Description: partial 16S ribosomal RNA
Rfam family: Bacterial small subunit ribosomal RNA
Source: RNAcentral
GAUGAACGCUAGCUACAGGCUUAACACAUGCAAGUCGAGGGACCGGCGCACGGGUGAGUAACACGUAUCAACCCUGCCCUUUACUCGGGGAUAGCCUUUCGAAAGAGAGAUUAAUACCCGAUGUAAAGGAUGGGGAUGCGUUCCAUUAGGUUGUUGGUAAGGUAACGGCUCACCAAGCCUUCGAUGGAUAGGGGUUCGGAGAGGCAGGCCCCCCAGAUUGGAACUGAGACCCGGUCCAAACUCGUACGGGAGGAAGCAGUGAGGAAUACUGGGCAAUGGGCGCUAGCCUGAACCAGCCAAGUAGCGGGAAGGAUGAAGGCUUUUGGGUCGUAAACUUCUUUGAUAGAAGAAUAUGUAUUAUAUGAAUAAGGAUCGGCUAACUCCGUGCCAGCAGCCGCGGUAAUAC